Molecule: long non-coding RNA, 403 nt
Filed under: Homo sapiens (human)
Lineage: Eukaryota; Metazoa; Chordata; Mammalia; Primates; Hominidae
Description: non-protein coding lnc-MON2-4:1
Source: RNAcentral
GCCAACUUCAGACUCCUUGUGGAGCCCAAGAUUGUCAAAAAAAGAACCAAGAAGUUCAUCCAGCACCAGUCUGACCAAUAUGUCAAAAUUAAGCGUAACUGGCAGAAACCCAGAGGUACUGACAACAGGGCUCAUAGAAGGUUCAAAGGCUAGAUCUUGAUGCCCAACAUUGGUUAUGGGAGCAACAGAAAAACAGCACAUGCUGCCCAGUGGCUUCCGGAAGUUCCUGAUCCACAGCGUCAAGGAGCCGGAAGUGCUGCUGCCAUGCAACAAAUCUUACUGUGCUGAGAUCAUUCACAAUGUUUCCUCCAAGAACUGCAAAGCCGUUGUGGAAAGAGCUGCCCAGCUGGCCAUCAGAGUCACCAACCCCAAUGCCAGGCUGUGCAGCGAAGAAAAUGGGUAG